This is a non-coding RNA of Malus domestica (apple), 389 nucleotides long. NCBI's taxonomy places the organism in Eukaryota, Viridiplantae, Streptophyta, Magnoliopsida, Rosales, Rosaceae. The record is from RefSeq and is a predicted model, not a curated record.
GUUUUUCUUCCCUUAUCUUAUCAAAUAAAUCAAUUGAUAGGGUCAAGACGAUUCUUUUAGGCUCCAAAGUUCAAAGGUCUGAGUAAUUUUGGGAUAUUUACAAGAAUACCCACAAAAAAAUGGAGAAGGAACUACCUAUUGAUAAGAUCUCAAACAGACGUGUCUCUAUUUUUACACCUGAGUGGGAGAUAUCUGUCGGAGUAAAAACUACUGAUCUAAGCCAACUUAUUCUCAAAGAGUGGAAAAAAAAGAAGCAUGAGCAGUGGCGCAUGAAAAAGGCUGUAGAAGAAUUAAAACCUUCAACAACUCCUCGCAUCAUACGAAUUUGGAAUAAAGUCCAACAAAUUAGGAAAAAGAUUAAUAGUGACCAAACAACUUUUCUAAAUACG